Molecule: ribosomal RNA, 253 nt
Filed under: uncultured bacterium
Lineage: Bacteria
Description: partial 16S ribosomal RNA
Rfam family: Bacterial small subunit ribosomal RNA
Source: RNAcentral
GACAGAGGGUGCAAACGUUGUUCGGAUUUACUGGGCGUAAAGCGCGUGUAGGCGGCUUCGUAAGUUGGAUGUGAAAUCCCACGGCUCAACCGUGGACGUGCAUCCAAAACUACGUCGCUGGAGUCUCGGAGAGGAAGGUGGAAUGCUUGGUGUAGAGGUGAAAUUCGUAGAUAUCAAGCAGAACACCUGCGGCGAAGGCGGCCACCUGGACUGCACCUGACGCUGACACGCGAAAGCUAGGGGAGCGAACGGG